AACGAACGCUGGCGGCAUGCCUAACACAUGCAAGUCGAACGAGACCUUCGGGUCUAGUGGCGCACGGGUGCGUAACGCGUGGGAACCUGCCUUUAGGUUCGGAAUAACUCAGAGAAAUUUGAGCUAAUACCGGAUGAUGUCUUCGGACCAAAGAUUUAUCGCCUUUAGAUGGGCCCGCGUUGGAUUAGCUAGUUGGUGGGGUAAAGGCCUACCAAGGCGACGAUCCAUAGCUGGUCUGAGAGGAUGAUCAGCCACACUGGGACUGAGACACGGCCCAGACUCCUACGGGAGGCAGCAGUGGGGAAUAUUGGACAAUGGGCGAAAGCCUGAUACAGCAAUGCCGCGUGAGUGAUGAAGGCCUUAGGGUUGUAAAGCUCUUUUACCCGAGAUGAUAAUGACAGUAUCGGGAGAAUAAGCUCCGGCUAACUCCGUG
RNAcentral lists this ribosomal RNA (433 nucleotides) under uncultured bacterium. Its description in RNAcentral is "partial 16S ribosomal RNA". It matches the Rfam family "Bacterial small subunit ribosomal RNA", at positions 29 to 507 of the family's 1533-position model. The record is from RNAcentral.